AGUUCAAUUUCUGGGUCAUAUGAUAAGACCAUUUUUAGUUUUAGAAGAAAUUGUUACCUCUUUUCCAGAGUAGCUGUGCCAUUUUACAUUCCCACCAGAAAG
RNAcentral lists this microRNA precursor (102 nucleotides) under Marmota monax (woodchuck). The record is from RNAcentral. Lineage: Eukaryota; Metazoa; Chordata; Mammalia; Rodentia; Sciuridae.